UCACACUGACUUCCCCAGAUCUGGGGAGAAACAGAAAAGUCCUUUUCCUAUGUUUCCAGUAUGACCAGUUUGACAAUUUCAGAAGAAAGAACAAGAACUAGAUACUUUUUAAAAAAUUUAGCUGAGUCUUUUCCAGGAAUUGUGACAAUCCCUGUCUCAGCCCCCCAGGCUUCAGAAAAGCAAAUAGUAAUCAAUAAAUAAACAUUUACUUUAUAAAUACAUUGACCUACCUUCAAACUGUAUCUUUUUCUUAAAUCCAGGGGUGCUUAACCACUGAGCCACAUCCCUUAAAAUUUUUUUAAAUUUUGAACCACAGCCCUUUUUAAAAUUUUGAGAGUCUUGCUAAGUUGCUUAGGGCCUCACUAAAUUGCGUAGGCUGGCUUUGAACUUGUGAUCCUCCUGCCUCAGCCUCCUGAGUUGCUGGAUUCACAGGUAUGUACCACUGUACCCAGCUUCAAACUGUACCUUGAAGAAAAAUAUGAAUCAGUUCCAGAAUCAGUGGGAAGACUGUGAUGUCAUUCAUGCCACAAGGUAAUGAUGCAAACAUGCUGCAUCAGGGAGUUUAAAACUUGAAUGUGCCUAAGAAUCACGGGGACAAAUUUUUGGGCCCCAUCCUUAGAGGUUCUGAUUCAGACAGUCUAAAAUAGAACGUGAUACUUUGCAUAAUGCCAGUACUGUCUGUCUUAGGGCCACCCUGAGCAGCAUUGUACCACAGCAGAAUGCAAGACUCAGACUCAGCCUAGAGAAGUUUGCUCAUUUGCUUCAUGGUUACAGAAUGACCUCAUAAGAACACAAAUUCUGUACAGUGGAAACUCAGGAGAUGAACGCAAUGAUGGGGGCGUUUCUAAGAGAACAGCAUAAUUGUCCCUAUUAAUCUCUUGUCCUCUCUUGCUGGGUUGGUAUUUUAAAACUUUCAGAAUGUUUUUAAAGGAAAUAUUAAAUCUCUGAGUAUAAUUUACAGUAACUGGUUUGAGUAGCUAGGUUUUCUUAGAGCAAAGCAGGUGACAGUAUGACCAUGUUCCACUCACUUUACAGUGGCAUCAGACCUUGAUUUUCACAUUAAACAAGAAUGAUUCUUAAAUUUAUGACUAGAGAAAAUGUGUACUUUUAGUUUUAUUAGAGUAACUGUAAUACAGCACUUUUUGAAUUGCUAGGGAAACCCAAGCGGAACUAUUUUAUAACCCUCAAAACAAAGGAACAGAAAAGUUCCAUCUAGACUUGGCCUUGGCCCCAGGGGUUCAGAUGGGAUUGUCAGGUGCUCCUGGGAGUUGGGCUUAUUCUGUGCAUGAACCACCACCAUGGCUGGGGAACAGCAAGGAGGGACAGUAGGUGAAGUCUCAGACGUGCGUUAGGGUCCAGUUUGUGUCUCAUUUUCUGUCUUAGUGGGUUUAGAUUGUUUUUCAAUGCUAGGGAUGGGACCCAGGGCCUCACGCAUGCUGAGCACCAGCUGUACCACUGGGCUCUAUUCUGAGCCCCAACGCUUCCUAUCUUGGGGUUCUUUCUCUGCCUCACUGGGUAGUCACUCCCCAAUUAUUUUGACAUCUGUUGAUCCUUCUUUUCCUCUCAUUACUGAUUAUCCCUCCUAGCAGACUUCCUUUUCAGGGUCAUGAUGUUUGUGGAUAGAUAUGAGCUGACCUGACUGGGCCGUGUCUAGAAUGGGGAAAGCCCGCCCAAUUGCUCGGUUAAGAAAGAAGGAAUUAGAGCCUGGCAGGCAGGUUGCUGCCAACACUCCCUUGGGCCGCUGGCUGUACACAGCUGCUCUGUGUGCUAGCAACUCUUAUUAGCCAAUUAAAAACAACCAAGUUCCUCUGUUUAUCACACUUGAGUUACUAAGAGCAAGUGUGUUUGCAGGAAAUUAUGCUGUAUAUUUUCCCCUAAGUGCUUAAAAAAUUAGUGUUGCAGAAUUUUAUCUUUUAAUCCAAGAUACUCUUAUCCCCUGUAAAAUCUGGGGAUAAGAAGUGGUUUUGUGAUAUUAAAAUAUGUAAUUAUAUAAGCUAUAGGUUACUUACAAGUAUUCUUCCAGUAAAAUUCUGUAUAAUGGCAUUAUGAAAGACUUUGAGUUCUACUUCAGUACUCCAAUUUUGAAUAAGAAAGAUUAAGCAUUUUACCCUAGUUAUAUAGUUUAUGACAAAAAGGAAAGCCCACCCUUGGUGGGGCUUGGGAGAGGCAGAGUAAAAGCCUAGAGGACUUUGUCAGAAGUUACACUAGGAGGAGAGAGAGGAGACGUAACAGAGCAGUCUUAGAACUAUGGUCUAAUUUCAUUUUACACUUACUAUUUUCUAAAAUGACCUGGAUUUUUUAACAUCAACUUAACUAUAUUAAAGGGAAGGGCACAAAUGGGGCACCAGAGGAAGAGAAGGAAAGUUAACAUGACAAUUUGUUGACCUAAUGUAACUAAGUUCCUGCUACAGCUGUUACAGGCUGUCUGGGCCUUUUUCCCCACCUGGAAAGAUCCUCCCCCAAAAGUGCACUGACAGAUCUUCUUAUGAUGACAACUGCAAGGACAUUCUG
Molecule: long non-coding RNA, 2511 nt
Filed under: Marmota monax (woodchuck)
Lineage: Eukaryota; Metazoa; Chordata; Mammalia; Rodentia; Sciuridae
Source: RNAcentral